Molecule: ribosomal RNA, 814 nt
Filed under: uncultured bacterium
Lineage: Bacteria
Description: bacterial SSU rRNA
Rfam family: Bacterial small subunit ribosomal RNA
Source: RNAcentral
AGAGUUUGAUCCUGGCUCAGAACGAACGCGGGCGGCGUGGAUAAGACAUGCAAGUCGAACGCUGAUUUCAGGGUAGCAAUAUUCUGGAGUUGGAGUGGCGCAAGGGUGCGUAACACGUGGGUAAUUUGCCGUGAAGCCCGGAAUAACUCGCUGAAAGGCGAGCUAAUACCGGAUGUGAUUUUUGGAGGGCAUCCUCUGGAACUCAAAGCUGGGGACCGUAAGGCCUGGCACUUCUCGAUAAGCCCGCGGCCUAUCAGCUAGUUGGUGAGGUAAUGGCUCACCAAGGCUAAGACGGGUAGCUGGUCUGAGAGGACGACCAGCCACACUGGAACUGAGACACGGUCCAGACACCUACGGGUGGCAGCAGUCGAGAAUUUUUCACAAUGGGCGAAAGCCUGAUGGAGCGACGCCGCGUGGGGGAUGAAUGGCUUCGGCCCGUAAACCCCUGUCAUUUGCGAACAAACCUUUUCAUUUAAAAGAUGAUGAGCUGAUUGUAGCGAAAGAGGAAGGGACGGCUAACUCUGUGCCAGCAGCCGCGGUAAUACAGAGGUCCCAAGCGUUGUUCGGAUUCACUGGGCGUAAAGGGUGCGUAGGUGGCCGGUUAAGUCUGACGUGAAAUCUCCGAGCCUAACUCGGAAACUGCGUCGGAAACUAUCCGGCUCGAGGGUUGGAGGGGGGACUGGAAUACUUGGUGUAGCAGUGAAAUGCGUAGAUAUCAAGUGGAACACCAGUGGCGAAGGCGAGUCCCUGGACAACUCCUGACACUGAGGCACGAAAGCUAGGGGAGCAAACAGGAUUAGAUACCCUGGUAGUC